This 521-nucleotide ribosomal RNA is filed under the name uncultured bacterium. RNAcentral's name for it is "bacterial SSU rRNA". It matches the Rfam family "Bacterial small subunit ribosomal RNA", at positions 355 to 894 of the family's 1533-position model. The record is from RNAcentral.
UGGGGAAUCUUGCACAAUGGGGGAAACCCUGAUGCGGCGACGCCGCGUGAGCGAUGAAGCCCUUCGGGGUGUAAAGCUCUUUCGACGGGAACGAUAAUGACGGUACCCGAAGAAGAAGCUGCGGCUAACUACGUGCCAGCAGCCGCGGUAAUACGUAGGCAGCAAGCGUUGUUCGGAAUUACUGGGCGUAAAGAGUGUGUAGGCGGUGUUCUAAGUCUGUUGUGAAAUCUCCCGGCUCAACUGGGAGGGUGCGGCGGAGACUGGAAUGCUAGAGUAUGGGAGAGGUAAGCGGAAUUCCUGGUGUAGCGGUGAAAUGCGUAGAUAUCAGGAGGAACACCUGUGGUGUAGACAGCUUACUGGACCAUGACUGACGCUGAGACACGAAAGCGUGGGUAGCAAACAGGAUUAGAUACCCUGGUAGUCCACGCCCUAAACGAUGCAUACUUGGUGUGAGCCAUUCAUUUGGUUCGUGCCGGAGCUAACGCGUUAAGUAUGCCGCCUGGGGAGUACGGUCGCAAGGC